RNAcentral lists this ribosomal RNA (439 nucleotides) under uncultured bacterium. RNAcentral's name for it is "partial 16S ribosomal RNA". It matches the Rfam family "Bacterial small subunit ribosomal RNA", at positions 339 to 795 of the family's 1533-position model. The record is from RNAcentral.
CUACGGGAGGCUGCAGUGGGGAAUAUUGCACAAUGGAGGAAACUCUGAUGCAGCAACGCCGCGUGGAGGAUGACACUUUUCGGAGCGUAAACUCCUUUUAUAUAGGAAGAAGAUGACGGUACUAUAUGAAUAAGCGCCGGCUAACUCCGUGCCAGCAGCCGCGGUAAUACGGAGGGCGCAAGCGUUACUCGGAAUCACUGGGCGUAAGGAGCGUGUAGGCGGAUUAAAAAGUCAGAAGUGAAAUCCUAUAGCUUAACUAUAGAACUGCUUCUGAAACUCUUAAUCUAGAAUAUGGGAGAGGUAGAUGGAAUUUCUGGUGUAGGGGUAAAAUCCGUAGAGAUCAGAAGGAAUACCGAUUGCGAAGGCGAUCUACUAGAACAUUAUUGACGCUGAGACGCGGAAGCGUGGGGAGCAAACAGGAUUAGAUACCCGCGUAGUC